This 235-nucleotide ribosomal RNA is filed under the name uncultured bacterium. RNAcentral's name for it is "partial 16S ribosomal RNA". It matches the Rfam family "Bacterial small subunit ribosomal RNA", at positions 98 to 333 of the family's 1533-position model. The record is from RNAcentral.
CCGCACGGGUGAGUAACACGUAUCCAACCUGCCGUCUACUCUUGGACAGCCUUCUGAAAGGAAGAUUAAUACAAGAUGGCAUCAUGAGUUCACAUGUUCACAUGAUUAAAGGUAUUCCGGUAGACGAUGGGGAUGCGUUCCAUUAGAUAGUAGGCGGGGUAACGGCCCACCUAGUCUUCGAUGGAUAGGGGUUCUGAGAGGAAGGUCCCCCACAUUGGAACUGAGACACGGUCCA